UAUUAGGAUGCCACAAAGCAU
This 21-nucleotide non-coding RNA is filed under the name Arabidopsis thaliana (thale cress). The record is from RNAcentral. Lineage: Eukaryota; Viridiplantae; Streptophyta; Magnoliopsida; Brassicales; Brassicaceae.